Molecule: small nuclear RNA, 103 nt
Filed under: Sorex araneus (European shrew)
Lineage: Eukaryota; Metazoa; Chordata; Mammalia; Eulipotyphla; Soricidae
Source: RNAcentral
GUGCUAGCUCCAGCAGGAACUCUCCUAAAAUUGGAAGGAUGCAGAGAUUAGCAUGGACCCUGAACAAGGAUGAAUGCAAAUGUGUGAAAUAUUUCAUAUUACA